Molecule: ribosomal RNA, 311 nt
Filed under: uncultured archaeon
Lineage: Archaea
Description: partial 16S ribosomal RNA
Source: RNAcentral
CACGCACGGGGCGAAAGCCAGCGAGCGAGAGGGAGGCCCCGGCGACGCCAGAACACGGGAAACCGCCCAAGGAAGGGGAAACCCGGGAAACGGGGAAAACCCAAGGACAGAGCGGAAGCCGAACCAAAGCCGGCGCCAGGAAGACGCGGCCGAAGGGGGGGGAACGGCCCAACAAGCCAGAACGGACGGGGGGGAGCAAGAGCCCGGAGGGACGAGACACGAACCAGGCCCACGGGGCGCAGCAGGCGCGAAAACACAAGCGGGCAACCGGAAAGGGAACCCGAGGCCGAAGCAGGCGGCCAGGGCAAAAC